This 1223-nucleotide long non-coding RNA is filed under the name Homo sapiens (human). RNAcentral describes it as "HSALNT0295780". The record is from RNAcentral. Lineage: Eukaryota; Metazoa; Chordata; Mammalia; Primates; Hominidae.
GCCACCACACCCAGCCUAUUAUUUCUAAUACAGUUUUUUUUUUGUUUUUUUUUUUACUAUUCUUACUUCUACAAGUUAUUUACAAGAUGAAUCAAAAGAUAGAUGAUAGAUAAAUAGACAGAUACAGAUAGAUAAUUAAAAGCGUCCAUUGGACCUAAAUGGUAAAAGGUGAUUAUUUUUCCUGGUAUUCUGAGGGUUAAGGCCUCACAUGAUUCCUGUAACUCUACAAGUUACUUAUUAGUUGAGUAAACCUGAAAGAGAUUAAGAAUUCGGUGGCCUUUGUGAGGCACUGCCCCACCCUGCCCACCAGGCUCUGCCGCUCCAUGGCAACUCCAGCCAGCUCCUCCCUCCCCCUGCCACCAGCUGGUGAAGUCACCAGAACUGCCACCCUCGGGCAUUGUGGGGCAAUGAAGGUGGGUGGAGGGAAUGAGGCACCACAACAGUAUUUCCCUCUAGCAGCUCCUGGGACUGGGUUUUCUGGCAUUUCUAUCUCCCCCAAAUAUCUGUAACAGGCGGUGUUCAUAUCUCUAAAUCAGAGUUCUGGCUGCUGAGGUAGCAGGACUGAGACCGGGGCUGGACCCUGACUGAGACCCAGGAGCCAGCAGCCUCUAGCCACUCCAGUCACAGGCACAGCCCAGGGACCCACCGCCACGCCCUCCUGCAAGAUAAAGGAAGCAGCAACUCAGACAUCAGGACACACCCACCAAAACACAAGGAGAGGCCCUGAAAAGUAACUGGAAAGUCACAGACCGUUCUGGCAAGUGGAGUUGAUGAGAAACAGGCCCCAGAGACUCGGAUUGGAGCGAGAGAGUUCCAUGGGCUCAGCUGGGAAAUGAGGCACAAGGAGCCAGCCCCAGAACAGAGACCCCUCCAAAGCCAACAGCUCCAGAACCGCCUCUUGCCACAACAUUCAAUGCCCUGGCUUUGAUGUUUUGUGUCUCUUGCUGACUCACAAACUUGGGAGGUAACUGGCUUUCCCUAUCAAAAAUUACUAACCCUUGAGGGGCAAUUUCGCGAUAGCUGUCAACAUUUUCAAUGUUCAUAAUCUGGACACCAUUGAUUCUGCCUACUUUCAGGGGUUUUUCCUCAGAUAUGCCCAGACAUACACAGGAUUUCUGGAUCAUUGAUUAGGGAAAAAAUGAUGCCAUCUAAUUGUCUUUCAUCAAGAACCCACUAUUUGGCUGGGUGCAGUGGCUCACACCUGUAAUCCCAGCACUUUAAGA